Molecule: ribosomal RNA, 783 nt
Filed under: Triticum aestivum (bread wheat)
Lineage: Eukaryota; Viridiplantae; Streptophyta; Magnoliopsida; Poales; Poaceae
Description: partial small subunit ribosomal RNA
Source: RNAcentral
AUGGCUCUUCUUCCUCCUCUGCUUCUGUCCUGCAUCUUGGUGCUGGCUCUCCCAGGGCCGGCGGUGUUGAUGGCAAGGGGCGUCACGUUCCACGUAACCAACAAGUGCCCAUUCCCGGUGUGGCCGGCUGUCGCGCCCAACGCCGGCCACCCCGUGCUCGCCGCAGGCGGUUUCUUCCUCCCUCCGGGACAGUCGAAGCGCGUCGGGGCUCCGGCCACCUGGAACGGCCGCUUCUGGGGCCGCACCGGCUGCAACUUCCCAGGCACCGGCUGCCUCACCGGCGACUGUGAAGGGCGCCUGGCCUGCAACGGGUCCGUCGGCGCCCCUCCCGCCACCCUCGUCGAGGGGAACCUGCACGAGGACCAGAGCAAGGGGAGCUCCUACGACGUGAGCGUGGUGGACGGGUACAACCUCCCUGUGGCCGUGUGGACCAGGCCGGCGAACCGCAGCGGCGACUGCUUCAUCGCCGGGUGCGCCAAGAACGUGAACGCGGUGUGCCCGCCGGAGCUGCAGGUCACUAGCGGCACGGGCAAGAAGGCAACGGUGGUGGCGUGCAGGAGCGCGUGCCUGGCCUUCGGCCUGGACGCCUUCUGCUGCCGCGGAGACGUGCCGGGGCAGCGUCUACUCGCGGCUCUUCAGGGACGCCUGCCCGGCCUACUACAGCUACGUCUACGCGCAGGAGUACGUGGUCACAUUCUGCCCGUCCAGAUGGGGCGAUCGUGGCCCAGGUUUGAGCAGUGCGUGCAGCAGCCCAGGACUGUGCUACGUAUGUAUUUUUUUUAG